UUAAGUUAGAAAGGGCGCACGGUGGAUGCCUUGGCACUAGGAGCCGAUGAAGGACGGGACGAACACCGAUAUGCUUCGGGGAGCUGUAAGCAAGCUUUGAUCCGGAGAUUUCCGAAUGGGGAAACCCACCACUCGUAAUGGAGUGGUAUCCAUAUCUGAAUACAUAGGAUAUGAGAAGGCAGACCCGGGGAACUGAAACAUCUAAGUACCCGGAGGAAGAGAAAGCAAAUGCGAUUCCCUGAGUAGCGGCGAGCGAAACGGGACCAGCCCAAACCAAGAGGCUUGCCUCUUGGGGUUGUAGGACACUCUGUACGGAGUUACAAAGGAACGAGGUAGAUGAAGAGGUCUGGAAAGGCCCGCCAUAGAAGGUAACAGCCCUGUAGUCAAAACUUCGUUCUCUCCUGAGUGGAUCCUGAGUACGGCGGAACACGUGAAAUUCCGUCGGAAUCCGGGAGGACCAUCUCCCAAGGCUAAAUACUCCCUAGUGACCGAUAGUGAACCAGUACCGUGAGGGAAAGGUGAAAAGCACCCCGGAAGGGGAGUGAAAGAGAUCCUGAAACCGUGUGCCUACAAGUAGUCAGAGCCCGUUAAUGGGUGAUGGCGUGCCUUUUGUAGAAUGAACCGGCGAGUUACGAUCCCGUGCAAGGUUAAGCAGAAGAUGCGGAGCCGCAGCGAAAGCGAGUCUGAAUAGGGCGAAUUGAGUACGUGGUCGUAGACCCGAAACCAGGUGAUCUACCCAUGUCCAGGGUGAAGUUCAGGUAACACUGAAUGGAGGCCCGAACCCACGCACGUUGAAAAGUGCGGGGAUGAGGUGUGGGUAGGGGUGAAAUGCCAAUCGAACCUGGAGAUAGCUGGUUCUCUCCGAAAUAGCUUUAGGGCUAGCCUCAAGGUAAGAGUCUCGGAGGUAGAGCACUGAUUGGACUAGGGGCCCCUACCGGGUUACCGAAUUCAGUCAAACUCCGAAUGCCGAUGACUUAUCCUUGGGAGUCAGACUGCGAGUGAUAAGAUCCGUAGUCGAAAGGGAAACAGCCCAGACCGCCAGCUAAGGUCCCAAAGUAUACGUUAAGUGGAAAAGGAUGUGGAGUUGCUUAGACAACCAGGAUGUUGGCUUAGAAGCAGCCACCAUUUAAAGAGUGCGUAAUAGCUCACUGGUCGAGUGACUCUGCGCCGAAAAUGUACCGGGGCUAAACGUAUCACCGAAGCUGCGGACUGUUCUUCGAACAGUGGUAGGAGAGCGUUCUAAGGGCUGUGAAGCAAGACCGGAAGGACUUGUGGAGCGCUUAGAAGUGAGAAUGCCGGUAUGAGUAGCGAAAGAGGGGUGAGAAUCCCCUCCACCGAAUGCCUAAGGUUUCCUGAGGAAGGCUCGUCCGCUCAGGGUUAGUCGGGACCUAAGCCGAGGCCGAAAGGCGUAGGCGAUGGAUAACAGGUUGAUAUUCCUGUACCACCUCCUCACCAUUUGAGCAAUGGGGGACGCAGGAGGAUAGGGUAAGCGCGGUAUUGGAUAUCCGCGUCCAAGCAGUUAGGCUGGGAAAUAGGCAAAUCCGUUUCCCGUGAAGGCUGAGCUGUGAUGGCGAGCGAAUUAUAGUAGCGAAGUUCCUGAUUCCACACUGCCAAGAAAAGCCUCUAGCGAGGUGAGAGGUGCCCGUACCGCAAACCGACACAGGUAGGCGAGGAGAGAAUCCUAAGGUGAUCGAGAGAACUCUCGUUAAGGAACUCGGCAAAAUGACCCCGUAACUUCGGGAGAAGGGGUGCUCUGUUAGGGUGCAAGCCCGAGAGAGCCGCAGUGAAUAGGCCCAGGCGACUGUUUAGCAAAAACACAGGUCUCUGCGAAGCCGUAAGGCGAAGUAUAGGGGCUGACGCCUGCCCGGUGCUGGAAGGUUAAGAGGAGCGCUUAGCGUAAGCGAAGGUGCGAAUUGAAGCCCCAGUAAACGGCGGCCGUAACUAUAACGGUCCUAAGGUAGCGAAAUUCCUUGUCGGGUAAGUUCCGACCCGCACGAAAGGCGCAACGAUCUGGGCACUGUCUCAACGAGAGACUCGGUGAAAUUAUAGUACCUGUGAAGAUGCAGGUUACCCGCGACAGGACGGAAAGACCCCGUGGAGCUUUACUGCAGCCUGAUAUUGAAUGUUGGUACAGCUUGUACAGGAUAGGUAGGAGCCUUGGAAACCGGAGCGCCAGCUUCGGUGGAGGCAUCGGUGGGAUACUACCCUGGCUGUAUUGACCUUCUAACCCGCCGCCCUUAUCGGGCAGGGAGACAGUGUCAGGUGGGCAGUUUGACUGGGGCGGUCGCCUCCUAAAAGGUAACGGAGGCGCCCAAAGGUUCCCUCAGAAUGGUUGGAAAUCAUUCGCAGAGUGUAAAGGCACAAGGGAGCUUGACUGCGAGACCUACAAGUCGAGCAGGGACGAAAGUCGGGCUUAGUGAUCCGGUGGUUCCGCAUGGAAGGGCCAUCGCUCAACGGAUAAAAGCUACCCCGGGGAUAACAGGCUUAUCUCCCCCAAGAGUCCACAUCGACGGGGAGGUUUGGCACCUCGAUGUCGGCUCAUCGCAUCCUGGGGCUGUAGUCGGUCCCAAGGGUUGGGCUGUUCGCCCAUUAAAGCGGUACGCGAGCUGGGUUCAGAACGUCGUGAGACAGUUCGGUCCCUAUCCGUCGCGGGCGCAGGAAAUUUGAGAGGAGCUGUCCUUAGUACGAGAGGACCGGGAUGGACGCACCGCUGGUGUACCAGUUGUUCUGCCAAGGGCAUCGCUGGGUAGCUAUGUGCGGACGGGAUAAGUGCUGAAAGCAUCUAAGCAUGAAGCCCCCCUCAAGAUGAGAUUUCCCAUUCCGCAAGGAAGUAAGAUCCCUGAAAGAUGAUCAGGUUGAUAGGUCUGAGGUGGAAGUGUGGCGACACAUGGAGCUGACAGAUACUAAUCGAUCGAGGACUUAACC
RNAcentral lists this ribosomal RNA (2925 nucleotides) under Bacillus velezensis. RNAcentral describes it as "bacterial LSU rRNA". It matches the Rfam family "Bacterial large subunit ribosomal RNA". The record is from RNAcentral. Lineage: Bacteria; Bacillati; Bacillota; Bacilli; Caryophanales; Bacillaceae.